This 257-nucleotide long non-coding RNA is filed under the name Elaeis guineensis (African oil palm). Its description in RNAcentral is "long non-coding RNA (EGUI_LNC078383)". The record is from RNAcentral. Lineage: Eukaryota; Viridiplantae; Streptophyta; Magnoliopsida; Arecales; Arecaceae.
UUCCUUGAACUUUUGCCGCUGCAGAAAAUGGAUAGGCCGGUGCAAGAUUUUUAUGAAUGUCUUUAGUGACAGGAUAGAGAAUGUCAUGAUGAGCCUGUUUCAAGAUAAGUCAAAUAGAGCAAUACAUAAAUAAUAACUUUUCAAAUUAAUAUAAAUAAGCUAAAAGGCAUAUUAUUGAAGGAUAUAUAUGUACAAAAAUCUAAUUAGUUUAUCUACCCCGCCACUAGGCAGUGACCUUGUGUCCUGCUUUUUUUUUU